GCUAAACGCGAAGAACCUUACCAGGCCUUGACAUGCAGAGAACUUUCCAGAGAUGGAUUGGUGCCUUCGGGAACUCUGACACAGGUGCUGCAUGGCUGUCGUCAGCUCGUGUCGUGAGAUGUUGGGUUAAGUCCCGUAACGAGCGCAACCCGUUGUCCUUAGUUACCAGCACGUCAUGGUGGGCACUCUAAGGAGACUGCCGGUGACAAACCGGAGGAAGGUGGGGAUGGACGUCAAGUCAUCAUGGCCCUUACGGCCUGGGCUACACACGUGCUACAAUGGUCGGUACAGAGGGUUGCCAAGCCGCGAGGUGGAGCUAAUCUCACAAAACCGAUCGUAGUCCGGAUCGCAGUCUGCAACUCGACUGCGUGAAGUCGGAAUCGCUAG
RNAcentral lists this ribosomal RNA (387 nucleotides) under uncultured bacterium. Its description in RNAcentral is "bacterial SSU rRNA". It matches the Rfam family "Bacterial small subunit ribosomal RNA", at positions 954 to 1338 of the family's 1533-position model. The record is from RNAcentral.